CAUGCGUUGUCUUGCACGCGUUCCGGCCGCACUCCGAUAGUUUUGACGCGCUUUGAGUGACGCAAUGUUCGUGUUUGCGCAAUAUGAAAUCGACUCGACCACAGAGGUCAUCGACCACGCCACUGUUGAAGGCUUCCACCCUACAAAUGUGGCAGAUUUCGGUGGAAGUCAUUUAUAUAACGUAUGUUGGAACGGGAAUUACAAUGUUGACGGCGGCUACUACAAAGCCAAGAUCCUCCACAUGACAGAAACUCGGGAAGAAAUUGAUUUGUACCUCAGCAAGAGGCCGAGGAAAACGGUGAAUUUGGAAAAAGCAAAAAAGAGGAAAAAUCAAAGGUAUAGUUACCAUAUUCAUUCUAUUCAUCUUGGACAUCGUAUACAUGGCUUCCACUUGCGUAACUUGACAUCAUGGCUCGGAAGAGCAGGAUUAUUUACGCGAGAUCUUUGGACGUGGUGGUGGGGGCCGAACUCCUGUAUCUUCCCACUCAUUGGCAGAUAUAGGAGCAAAAGGAUCCAAUGCAGCCACCACAUCCCAAACUGCAUCUGGGUUGCUUGUGCCCCGGCUGCACAGUAAAGUUUUAUUGUUACAUUUACUAUCAUCUGUAAUUUAACGUGUGUGACAGGUAAUAAUUUGGUUAUUUAAUUUAUAUGUACUAAUCGUGAAUAGAUGCUGUAUACAGUUUUUACUUUAUUAGCAGGCAUGCAAAGUUGAGUAUAGGUUCUAUAUGCAAUGUUUUUUGUGUUGUAUGCUCCGUCAGAUGCAUGAUUCACAAAAAAUGCAGUUUUCAUGUAACAAGAAAGCUACUUGCAUUCAGUUACGCCAGAAUAAGCAUGAGUUCACUGUGAUGAGCUGGUGACACUCAUCGGAGUCGGUGCUGCAAAAGUCAGUUACCUUCACUGUGCUCAACUUCGCAGUAUCUGCUGAGCUAGAUAUAGUUUUCUGGACAAUAAAUUUAGCCAAGAAUAAGCAUUGCAAAAAAGAGUACAUUCAUAGUAGGCCUAACAAUGAUUACAGCAUGGUAGCGUGCGGUCUUUGUUCCACUAUUUAGUCACUGUCCCAUUUCAGAUCUGGCAAAAGUCUUCCUGAUGUGAGUCUGGCCACUUCACUGCCAUCUGUGCCUAGAACUUCUGUGGCUGCACGCAGCACCACAGAACUGCCUAUGCCAGAGCAAAUUGCAUCUCAAGAUCUCAUGCCGAGUAGCAGUGCACCAGUGGAGCCAGAUGAAUAUGCAUCUCAAGAUCUACUGAUGUGCAGCAGGCCCACGCCAGUGGAGCCAGAUGAGUUUGGUAUGAAAAGUCUUAGCAUGCUGUUUUUAUGCACUUUUUAUACAACUUGAGCAAAUGAGUGUUAAUGUAAAUGUCACUUCUUUUACAGUGGAUAGUGUUAUAAUUAUUUUUGGCCUAUGCCUGGUGACAACUGUCUGUGGCAGCACAGCCAAAGCUACGUGGGUAGAGCUUCUGCACAUGCGUUACUAUGCCAAGCAGUCCAUUUGCAAGUGAUUUCAGUUUUGAUUUCCCAUGUACACCCAACGUGUGUACUUUAUACAAGCGUCCAUGACUUACGAUGUUCUUUUUGAAAUAGUGUUAUGAGAGUUAGGUUAUGUAUAGCUUUAAUCAAAAAGCUUUGACAAGCCUUGAUAUAGCUAUGGAUACAGCACUGAUGGAACAAAUACC
This is a long non-coding RNA of Rhipicephalus sanguineus (brown dog tick), 1674 nucleotides long. RefSeq lists it as uncharacterized. The transcript is spliced from 7 exons. The record is from RefSeq and is a predicted model, not a curated record. Lineage: Eukaryota; Metazoa; Arthropoda; Arachnida; Ixodida; Ixodidae.